Molecule: long non-coding RNA, 1171 nt
Filed under: Ricinus communis (castor bean)
Lineage: Eukaryota; Viridiplantae; Streptophyta; Magnoliopsida; Malpighiales; Euphorbiaceae
Description: long non-coding RNA (RCOM_LNC003509)
Source: RNAcentral
AUAUUUAACCAUAUAUGUUUACAUAUUAAGAUUAAUUUUAUAAAAGACAAAAGAUAAAAAUAAAUAAAUAAAUAAAUAAAAAAGAACUUCUAGAAACAAUUUGAAUAGUAUGAAAAAUAUAUUUUUUAAGAAAUAUUUUUAUGAAGAAAUAUCCUCCAAAAUAUUAGGUAAAAAGAUGGGAGAAAUUUAAAGACCCGGUUCAAGUUGAAUCGGUGUUUAAUUAGACACUCGUUCUCAAAGCCUUAUAUAUGUUAGGAGUGGAUGCUUGUAUACGUAUGAGUAAAACCUAAAUAGUCGAAUUCCCGAAUCGGUUUCACGGAGCAGAAAGCUCAAACGCCACCAAGCCUCCCUCUUCUUUCUCAAUUCUCCUUGCUCAGGCUUUCAUCAGCCUCCUCCUUAUUUAUUUAUUUAUCUAUCUAAAAUAAAAGACUCCUAUGUCAGAUUAUUACAUAAACAUAUUUUCACAUUUUCCAUCCAUACAAAUUGGUCUGCACGUCAGAAGCACAAGUAAAACUGAACUCCGACCAAUUAAAAUAUUAGAUUUUACCAUAUGAAGCUAAAACAUAAAUAUAAAUAAAUAUAAUUACUAAAAUUGAAAUUUAAAAAUAUACGAAAUUUAUAUAACACUUAAAGAAACCUAAAAUAAAAAUUGUAAAACACUUCUAAAAAAAUACUAUUACAUUCUCUAAAAUUAUUUUAAAUUCUAUAAAAACUUGUAAAAGAUAAUGAAAGAAAAUCCAAUCACAAAAACAAUAAAUGGCAAAGAAAUUUUCUUUUUAUAUUCAGCAGUAAUUGACUAUUUAUACAUCAUAAUAUAUACAAAAGAUCAAAUCCCUCGAGACUAAACAUGCUUCUUUCUUUUAGUAUUACAAGAUAAUUGAGAUUGACUGGUAAUGAAACAAAAUAAAAGGUUAAAAAAAGUUCUACUAAUUUAUCAACACCAAUACAAGCAACAAAAUCAAAUAUAAAAAGUAAUUUACAAUAGGAUUCAGGGCUUGCUCUGGCUGCUGCUACUCUCCUUGGGUGGCUUCACAAUUAGGAUGGGACAUUUUGCAUGAUGUGCACAGUAAUCACUCACGCUCCCCAGAAAUGCCCUGCAAUCACACAUUUAUAUUAUCACCCUUGAUUGUUACUAUUUGUUCUCCAUCACGUGGUGAUAUGAUAUCCUUCU